Long non-coding RNA from Molossus molossus (Pallas's mastiff bat), 635 nucleotides. RefSeq lists it as uncharacterized. NCBI's taxonomy places the organism in Eukaryota, Metazoa, Chordata, Mammalia, Chiroptera, Molossidae. The record is from RefSeq and is a predicted model, not a curated record. The transcript is spliced from 5 exons.
GGACUCUGGUCCUCAGGCCAAUGCUCCAACUGCUGAACCAAACCGGCCAGGACAGUGAAGAGUUCUUCAUAGGUAUGCUGAUGAUUUUGGGGAACAAUCUAGAUUUUAGACGUGGAACUGAGAAUCAAUCUGAUUACACCCAGGUAUAAGGAUUUUUAUUUACAAAGGAAAAGAGAAUCUAGCUGAAUUCUCAGGUGGUAUGGGAGGCUAGAGAAUUGUGUCAAAAGCUUCUAAAAGACAAAGUGAAAUCUCCUAGCGUUUCAUGGUACUUUGUGGACAAAAGUCUGGCCUGAGUGAGAAGGUCUGCCAAAAACACAUCACUGGUCUCUUCCUGAAGAUAUUUGCUAUAUUUUGAAGCUGUGUAGACAGAAAUGUGGAGAGACAAGCUCAAAACUCCCAAAGAGCAGAAAUGAAUCUUCUCAGGGAUAAGGAGACAGACACAGACAACACUAUGGGAAAAAGUUUUCAAGAAUUAAGGCAAAAUACAGAUGUUUUCGGAAAAACAAAAGCUGAGAGAAUUUAUUGCUUAAGGAAAAUGGUCCUAAAUCCUCAGGAGGAGAAAAAGAGCACAGGGAAGCCAGUUGACUUCUUCCGCCCCCCCCCCCCCAACUGCUAGAGCUAGAGUUGAAAAGUAC